GUGGGGAAUCUUGCGCAAUGGGCGAAAGCCUGACGCAGCCAUGCCGCGUGAAUGAUGAAGGUCUUAGGAUUGUAAAAUUCUUUCACCGGGGACGAUAAUGACGGUACCCGGAGAAGAAGCUCCGGCUAACUUCGUGCCAGCAGCCGCGGUAAUACGAAGGGGGCUAGCGUUGCUCGGAAUUACUGGGCGUAAAGGGCGCGUAGGCGGACAGCUUAGUCAGAGGUGAAAGCCCAGGGCUCAACCUUGGAAUUGCCUUUGAUACUGGCUGUCUUGAGUUUGGGAGAGGUGAGUGGAACUCCGAGUGUAGAGGUGAAAUUCGUAGAUAUUCGGAAGAACACCAGUGGCGAAGGCGACUCACUGGCCCAAUACUGACGCUGAGGUGCGAAAGCGUGGGGAGCAAACAGGAUUAGAUACCCCAGUAGUCC
This 425-nucleotide ribosomal RNA is filed under the name uncultured bacterium. RNAcentral describes it as "partial 16S ribosomal RNA". It matches the Rfam family "Bacterial small subunit ribosomal RNA", at positions 354 to 796 of the family's 1533-position model. The record is from RNAcentral.